This 92-nucleotide small nucleolar RNA is filed under the name Rhopalosiphum maidis (corn leaf aphid). RNAcentral describes it as "small nucleolar RNA snR60/Z15/Z230/Z193/J17". It matches the Rfam family "Small nucleolar RNA snR60/Z15/Z230/Z193/J17". From Rfam's summary of the family: The members of this family belong to the C/D class of snoRNAs which contain the C (UGAUGA) and D (CUGA) box motifs. The record is from RNAcentral. Lineage: Eukaryota; Metazoa; Arthropoda; Insecta; Hemiptera; Aphididae.
AUUCAUUUUUUAUGAUGACUACAUAGUUCAUUUGAAAAAAGAUGAAAUUUAGCUAUAUUGCAAUUGUCUUUCGCUCCUAUCUGAGAAUGUGG